UUCCUACGGGAGGCAGCAGUGGGGAAUUUUGGACAAUGGGCGCAAGCCUGAUCCAGCCAUGCCGCGUGAGUGAAGAAGGCCUUCGGGUUGUAAAGCUCUUUCGGCGGGGACGAAACGGUCCGGGCUAACACCACGGACUAAUGACGGUACUCGCAGAAGAAGCACCGGCUAACUACGUGCCAGCAGCCGCGGUAAUACGUAGGGUGCAGGCGUUAAUCGGAAUUACUGGGCGUAAAGCGUGCGCAGGCGGCUCCUUAAGUCAGAUGUGAAAGCCCCGGGCUUAACCUGGGAACUGCGUUUGAAACUGGGGAGCUAGAGUGUGGAAGAGGGGGGUGGAAUUCCAGGUGUAGCAGUGAAAUGCGUAGAGAUCUGGAGGAACACCGAUGGCGAAGGCAGCCCCCUGGGCUAACACUGACGCUCAUGCACGAAAGCGUGGGGAGCAAACAGGAUUAGAUACCCUGGUAGUCCACGCCCUAAACGAUGUCAACUAGUUGUCGGGGAAGCAAUUCCUUGGUAACGAAGCUAACGCGUGAAGUUGACCGCCUGGGGAGUACGGCCGCAAGGUUAAAACUCAAAGGAAUUGACGGAA
This 589-nucleotide ribosomal RNA is filed under the name uncultured beta proteobacterium. RNAcentral's name for it is "bacterial SSU rRNA". It matches the Rfam family "Bacterial small subunit ribosomal RNA", at positions 336 to 918 of the family's 1533-position model. The record is from RNAcentral. Lineage: Bacteria; Pseudomonadati; Pseudomonadota; Betaproteobacteria.